Molecule: small RNA, 515 nt
Filed under: uncultured Glomus
Lineage: Eukaryota; Fungi; Glomeromycota; Glomeromycetes; Glomerales; Glomeraceae
Description: SSU rRNA
Rfam family: Eukaryotic small subunit ribosomal RNA
Source: RNAcentral
AGCAGCCGCGGUAAUUCCAGCUCCAAUAGCGUAUAUUAAAGUUGUUGCAGUUAAAAAGCUCGUAGUUGAAUUUCGGGAUCAAUACGUCGGUCGUGCUUUCGGGUACGUACUGGCGUCAUUGGUUUCUCCUUUCUGACGAACCAUGAUGUCAUUAAUUUGGUGUUAUGGGGAGUUAGGACUGUUACUUUGAAAAAAAUUAGAGUGUUUAAAGCAGGCAUUAGCUUGAAUACGUUAGCAUGGAAUAAUGAAAUAGGACGUUCGAUCCUAUUUUGUUGGUUUCUAGGAUCAACGUAAUGAUUAAUAGGGAUAGUUGGGGGCAUUAGUAUUCGAUUGUCAGAGGUGAAAUUCUUGGAUUUAUUGAAGACUAACUACUGCGAAAGCAUUUGCCAAGGAUGUUUUCAUUAAUCAAGAACGAAAGUUAGGGGAUCGAAGACGAUCAGAUACCGUCGUAGUCUUAACCAUAAACUAUGCCGACUAGGGAUCGGAUGAUGUUAAUUUUUUAAUGACUCAUUCGG